UACGGGGGGGGCAAGCGUUGUUCGGAAUUACUGGGCGUAAAGCGUGCGCAGGCGGUUUUGUAAGCCAGAUGUGAAAUCCCCGGGCUCAACCUGGGAAUGGCAUUUGGGACUGCAAGGCUUGAGUGCGGCAGAGGAGACUGGAAUUCCUGGUGUAGCAGUGAAAUGCGUAGAUAUCAGGAGGAAUACCGAUGGCGAAGGCAGGUCUCUGGGCUGACACUGACGCUCAUGCACGAAAGCGUGGGGAGCAAACAGG
Molecule: ribosomal RNA, 253 nt
Filed under: uncultured bacterium
Lineage: Bacteria
Description: partial 16S ribosomal RNA
Rfam family: Bacterial small subunit ribosomal RNA
Source: RNAcentral